RNAcentral lists this ribosomal RNA (761 nucleotides) under uncultured Prevotella sp. RNAcentral's name for it is "bacterial SSU rRNA". It matches the Rfam family "Bacterial small subunit ribosomal RNA", at positions 28 to 776 of the family's 1533-position model. The record is from RNAcentral. Lineage: Bacteria; Pseudomonadati; Bacteroidota; Bacteroidia; Bacteroidales; Prevotellaceae.
GAUGAACGCUGGCUACAGGCUUAACACAUGCAAGUCGAGGGGAAACGGCAUUGGGUGCUUGCACCGAAUGGACGUCGACCGGCGCACGGGUGAGUAGCGCGUAUCCAACCUUCCCGUUACUGCGGGAUAACCUGCCGAAAGGCAGACUAAUACCGCAUGUUCUUCGAUGACGGCAUCAGAUUCGAAGCAAAGAUCCGUCGGUAACGGAGGGGGAUGCGUCUGAUUAGCUUGUUGGCGGGGCGACGGCCCACCAAGGCGACGAUCAGUAGGGGUUCUGAGAGGAAGGUCCCCCACAUUGGAACUGAGACACGGUCCAAACUCCUACGGGAGGCAGCAGUGAGGAAUAUUGGUCAAUGGGCGGAAGCCUGAACCAGCCAAGUAGCGUGCAGGAUGACGGCCCUACGGGUUGUAAACUGCUUUUAUGCGGGGAUAAAGUGAGGGACGCGUCCCUUUUUGCAGGUACCGCAUGAAUAAGGACCGGCUAAUUCCGUGCCAGCAGCCGCGGUAAUACGGAAGGUCCGGGCGUUAUCCGGAUUUAUUGGGUUUAAAGGGAGCGUAGGCCGGGGAUUAAGUGUGUUGUGAAAUGUAGGCGCCCAACGUCUGACUUGCAGCGCAUACUGGUUCCCUUGAGUACGCGCAACGCCGGCGGAAUUCGUCGUGUAGCGGUGAAAUGCUUAGAUAUGACGAAGAACCCCGAUUGCGAAGGCAGCCGGCGGGAGCGCAACUGACGCUGAAGCUCGAAGGUGCGGGUAUCGAACAGG